UUCAUUAUUAGCGUCAUCAGAACUAUUAACAAGGUUUUCUCUUGAUGAAAUUUUAAAAAAAAAGCACACAUGGGUCAAUGAUCAUUAGUUACUACGAAUCUAAUAAAAACUUAAACGAAACAUGCAGAAAUCUCUUAGUUGAUUUGAUAAUAGCCAGUUUGUUUGAAAAAAAACAUCCCAUGUGUACUGCCUUGGCUAAACAGAUUUCAGAUAUGAUAGUUGGGACCUUUACUAGGAAAUAUAUUUUGAAUGAAGCGGACUAAGAAAGUGUCCAAAAGGAAAACUUUAUGCAAAGUACUAUAACAAACUCAGAAGAUUAAGAAGCCAUGGAUUGGUGUCUUCACAAGUGUCAAAAUUGCAGAAAAACAAUAAACCACCCUAUAGGAUUUCUGAAAAUAUAAAUUUUGAAAUAAUUAUUGAAGAAGAUGCGGAAAUUCUUAUUGCCAAAUUGAAACAUGAAGAGUUAGCUUGGCACGAUAUUGAAAUGAUUUGGGCAAAAACCACUGGUUAUCGUUUGAACCAUCUUAAAACAACUAAUUUUUCACCAUCAGAAAUC
Long non-coding RNA from Acyrthosiphon pisum (pea aphid), 556 nucleotides. RefSeq lists it as uncharacterized. Lineage: Eukaryota; Metazoa; Arthropoda; Insecta; Hemiptera; Aphididae. The record is from RefSeq and is a predicted model, not a curated record. The transcript is spliced from 3 exons.